RNAcentral lists this ribosomal RNA (1147 nucleotides) under Escherichia coli. RNAcentral describes it as "partial 23S ribosomal RNA". It matches the Rfam family "Bacterial large subunit ribosomal RNA", at positions 1 to 1191 of the family's 2925-position model. Lineage: Bacteria; Pseudomonadati; Pseudomonadota; Gammaproteobacteria; Enterobacterales; Enterobacteriaceae. The record is from RNAcentral.
GUUAAGCGACUAAGCGUACACGGUGGAUGCCCUGGCAGUCAGAGGCGAUGAAGGACGUGCUAAUCUGCGAUAAGCGUCGGUAAGGUGAUAUGAACCGUUAUAACCGGCGAUUUCCGAAUGGGGAAACCCAGUGUGAUUCGUCACACUAUCAUUAACUGAAUCCAUAGGUUAAUGAGGCGAACCGGGGGAACUGAAACAUCUAAGUACCCCGAGGAAAAGAAAUCAACCGAGAUUCCCCCAGUAGCGGCGAGCGAACGGGGAGCAGCCCAGAGCCUGAAUCAGUGUGUGUGUUAGUGGAAGCGUCUGGAAAGGCGCGCGAUACAGGGUGACAGCCCCGUACACAAAAAUGCACAUGCUGUGAGCUCGAUGAGUAGGGCGGGACACGUGGUAUCCUGUCUGAAUAUGGGGGGACCAUCCUCCAAGGCUAAAUACUCCUGACUGACCGAUAGUGAACCAGUACCGUGAGGGAAAGGCGAAAAGAACCCCGGCGAGGGGAGUGAAAAAGAACCUGAAACCGUGUACGUACAAGCAGUGGGAGCCUCUUUAUGGGGUGACUGCGUACCUUUUGUAUAAUGGGUCAGCGACUUAUAUUCUGUAGCAAGGUUAACCGAAUAGGGGAGCCGAAGGGAAACCGAGUCUUAACUGGGCGUUAAGUUGCAGGGUAUAGACCCGAAACCCGGUGAUCUAGCCAUGGGCAGGUUGAAGGUUGGGUAACACUAACUGGAGGACCGAACCGACUAAUGUUGAAAAAUUAGCGGAUGACUUGUGGCUGGGGGUGAAAGGCCAAUCAAACCGGGAGAUAGCUGGUUCUCCCCGAAAGCUAUUUAGGUAGCGCCUCGUGAAUUCAUCUCCGGGGGUAGAGCACUGUUUCGGCAAGGGGGUCAUCCCGACUUACCAACCCGAUGCAAACUGCGAAUACCGGAGAAUGUUAUCACGGGAGACACACGGCGGGUGCUAACGUCCGUCGUGAAGAGGGAAACAACCCAGACCGCCAGCUAAGGUCCCAAAGUCAUGGUUAAGUGGGAAACGAUGUGGGAAGGCCCAGACAGCCAGGAUGUUGGCUUAGAAGCAGCCAUCAUUUAAAGAAAGCGUAAUAGCUCACUGGUCGAGUCGGCCUGCGCGGAAGAUGUAACGGGGCUAAACCAUG